GUCCUAGCCGUAAACGGUGCACGUUUGCUGUAAAAGGAAUCGACCCCUUUUGUGGCGGAGCCAACGCGUUAAACGUGCCGCCUGGGAAGUACGGUCGCAAGAUUAAAACUCAAAGAAAUUGACGGGUGCCUGCACAAGCGGUGGAGUAUGUGGCUCAAUUCGAUGCAACGCGAAGAACCUUACCUGGCCUUGACAUGCAUAUAGUAGAAGGGUGAAAGCCUGACGAGCCCGCAAGGGCAGUAUGCACAGGUGCUGCAUGGCUGUCGU
Molecule: ribosomal RNA, 267 nt
Filed under: uncultured bacterium
Lineage: Bacteria
Description: partial 16S ribosomal RNA
Rfam family: Bacterial small subunit ribosomal RNA
Source: RNAcentral